Long non-coding RNA from Gekko japonicus, 2127 nucleotides. RefSeq lists it as uncharacterized. Lineage: Eukaryota; Metazoa; Chordata; Lepidosauria; Squamata; Gekkonidae. The transcript has 4 exons. The record is from RefSeq and is a predicted model, not a curated record.
CAGCAAAGGGAAGGGGGAGGGGUGUGUGCGAGGAGGGGAGAGGGGAGCGCUUGGCGCCUCGCCAACUACCAUCAGAAUUAGCUCAUUGUUCAAUAUAGGCAGGCAACCAAAGCCUGAGAGAGAUUUUCCCCUCUUGCUGCCCCCACCCCCUUUUCUUUCUGUUUUUCCCCCCUUCCCCGGCUGCACUGUGAAAGAGGUGCAGUCAUUCCUCCCCACACCCUCUUACCCAGCCCACUCCCCCCCCCCUCUAUAAAUUCUCUUCUUCUAGCAUGCUCCCCCUUUUUAAAUCCACAUUUGUAUUUCAGAUCAUGUAGAAAGGACAGAGUGAGGAGGGAACAGGGGCUUUUGCUUACUACCGCUACCAGAGGGAAAGUGUAGUCCCAAGUCUUAAUAGAAUCUGAGAAUGGUUUAUCGACCAAGGCUCGCAGCCAGCCAGAAACACAUUCCAAUCAGCCAUGGGUAUGGAGGAUUUUUUCAGGACAAUCUGCCCAUCCCAAAGGAAGUUAAUCGCAAAAAGAAUGAAAAACCUGAACCUCCGUUCCUGUCACCAGCAAAUGACUAUGGACACCAUUUCACCCAAAUCAAUUACCUCUCCUCUUUUUAAUCAUAACUCCUCAUUUGUAUUAAAUAUGGUGUAUGGGUGUUGAUGAGGUCAUCAUGGUGUCAUAUAUCGGGAAUUGUUUCUGUGUAAAUCAUAAGAAGAAAACUAUGGGACUCUGAGCCUUGCUUUGGAGAAUUACAGUGAAAAAUGUAUACCAUAAACCGGUUUUUAACCAUUCUGACUCAAGUAAAAACACUCAGAAUUUCACACUGUGAACCCAAGUUUACAAACAUUACAGGUGGGCCUUCAGGCCUUGUUCUACCACAGCAAUGUCUUCCACUACUCAAACUCCACUGACCACAUGCAACUGGUAAAACUGCUGCCUCUCCAUUUUCAUGAUUCCUAACUGCUUCUUGCAGAGGCUGAGAGUCCCCCUUUAUUUCAUUUAGACGUAACAAGCCUAGUAGUUUAUUUUCAUCGAUUGUCUGUAUAUCUCUAUAUUUUAUCCAUGUACUCUUUUGAUGUAUAGAAGUAGUAUGAAACUCAUGGUUUCCUUGUGGUAAGUGACUGAGAUGCUGCCACGGGAUUUGAGACACUGAUGAAUGGUGCUAUUUUGGACUUUAAACAUGCUCCUUGGCAAGGUAGCUCUGAUGGAGUUAUUUUUAAUUUCCAUGUUCUAAGAAGGUGUUGGUACUUUGUUCUUGUUCUUUAGACUGGACUGACUUGUUUCCUUGUGUCUUCAGUGUGGCUUUCUUAUUCAGUGUUGUAGGGUGAGUAAUUACUAAUACAGCAAGUGAGGAACUGAUUCCCACCUGGGUAUGCUCACAAACUUGCAAUGGUAGUGGGAGCAAUCACAAAACUGUAAUUUACUACAAUUUUCCUCUCUGCCAUUUUGCUUACAUGAUUUGGAUAAAGAGCAGCAAUAAUUUUCUUAUGGUCUUUAGGGGUUAUCUUAAUGUUUUUGUCUUUUCUUUUAAAAAAAAUUCAUUCGGAGGCAUAUUCUUCAAGGGGGCAGUAUGUUUGUAAGUGUCCUCUUAAAAUCAAUAAAAUUGGCUAUGUUUUUUUAAUAAAAACAAUGAGUUCUUUAAAUGUGUAGAAACAGAAACUAUUCAAAAGCAAUGAAUCUAGUUCCACAGUAUUUCCAGCUUGUGGAUUUUACAUUUUUGUUCUUGCUCCCAGGGAAUUAGGAAACAAAAUACAAAACAAAACAGUACCAUCUAUUCAUGGAAUGUUGUUGUGUUAGACACAGUCUGGAAGCCCACCUUAAUUUUUUUAUAUAACUCUGUCCUUCAGCUCUUCCUUUUACUGGGCAGGCUUUGUCCUGAACUGUUUAGCUUCUGACUGUUAAAUACCAAUGCAUGCACUGCACUUCUUGGUUUCUCCCCCAUCCCCCAUUCUUAUGCACUUUCUUUCUGGUAGAUUAGAUAAGUCAAUUGUGCUGUAUAUACAUAUAGCAAGAAACAGUAUUCAGCAGUUGUGGCAUUUAUGUAUAGUUGCAGUUGUGUACUGCUGAAAUGCAAGCUUUUGUAACAGUGUGAUCUUUAAUAAUGCACUACAAGUACCCAAUGUAUUUUAGCUCUUUUAGU